Molecule: long non-coding RNA, 2691 nt
Organism: Oreochromis aureus
Lineage: Eukaryota; Metazoa; Chordata; Actinopteri; Cichliformes; Cichlidae
Source: Ensembl
UGCAGCCUGACCUUUGACCUCAUUAUUAGAAACCAUGAACAGCAGGACAGAAAAAAGGAGCUGGACAUUAUUUCAUUUUAUUGUUCAAAAACAAAGAGUGUGACACACACCUAAAAUCACUGAAACCAAACCAAAAAAUUACAACAAACAUGGUUAACAAGAAUGUCAUCAGCCAAUCAGAGGAGGCGCUGCAUUGUGACAGAGCAGGGGGAGAUGGUCACCUGACCAUCCUGCAGGUCUCUGUGAACCAGGUAAGUCUGUCUGUGCACACCUGUCUGUCUCUCUGUGGCAACAGCAGCCUCAAACCUAUCAAUUAUCUGUGAAGUCCCGCCCCCAGCCUUAGUGAGGCCACCAGCCUUCAUUCUUCCUUUCCUUUGUGUGGGUUUGGUUGCUGCACUCUGAUUGGCUGCUCUAAGACCACGUGACGGCUCCUCUGACUCCAGCAGGUAUCUGAUUGGUGGGCCAACUCUAGUCCUCCGCUGCCGCUGAGACUCCUCCCCAUUCUCGUCGUUACCCUGGGUUCCUUCUUUCAGUUUGCUAUCAGAAGCUCGAGCACUGCUCAUGGCCAUGCCAACUCUGUUGCCGUGGGGACUGUCUAAGAUGCUGCGGUGCUGAUCGCAAUGAUGCAGGAACAGUCUGCUGGCACGGCUGAACUUUCUGUUGCAGAUGUGACAGCCGAACAGUCGCUUUGGUCUGUGGACGGACGGGUGGAAGACAGACGCCUGGAGAGGGGAAAGGUUAGGCAAAGGUCAUGUGAGCGUUGGGUUAAUUAAAACUAACUAAAGACAAAAGGUGCAGAAAAGUCUGGCUGAAGGUCGGGAAAGAAGAGGUUUCUAUGGUUACCUACUCGGAACCACUCGCCACGUCUGGUUUUCCACUACAAUCUGGUAAGUACCAAAUGUACGUGGUUGUUGUUAUAGCAACGUGCCCGAGUGUCCCCUGACGUGAUUAAUGUGCAACUCCAAUAACGGUGGAUGUCCAGGCGAUGAUGGACCUGCUACUCGGUUUGUGGCGUCAGACUCAGGUACACAGCGUUGCUUUUGUAGCCAUUUCUGUUGCUGCCCGACUUCAAAAAUGGCGCUUUUCAUUUUUUGCGAAUGAGACGCUGUCACGACUCAUCGAGGGAAGCAACUGACCGGCCAAUUGGGGGGAAAUUUUAGUAUUUGCUCGAAUCACUUGGAACGCCAGCCAAACAGCACCCGGUACCAGGAACUAUGACCUAAUGGGCAACCCCGAAAACCACGGCGAGUCGAUCCGAGUAGGUACUAAUGAAAAAGAGGCUGUAGUAACAGGUAAAGUUCAAGUAAAGGUCAGAAGACAUGGGCUUGUGUUCUGUAUCCUGAUUGGAUGUUUCUAAAAUAUGUGUUAUCACCUCUGACUCUAGAAGGCGUCUGAUUGGUGGACUGACCGUCUUUCCUGGUCUCUGAGGCUCCUCCUCUUCCUGUCUUCCUCCCGUUGAGACCGUGUGACCCAUUUCUUUAUCUUCAGUAUCAGAACAGUCAGUCAUCUUUGAAGCCCCGCCCCCAGCCUCAUUGAAGUCAAAAACAUUUUUUGAUCUUCGCCUGUACUGUGUGGGUUUGUUUUCUGCGUCCUGAUUGGAGAUUCUGAGACCACCUGAUGUUUCCUCUGACUCCAGGAGGCCAACCAACGUCCUCUUUGGCCUGUAAGGCUCCUCCUCUCCUUCCUCUCUUCCUCCUGUUGUGACCAUGUGACCUGUGUCUUUAGCAUUAGUCUCAGGCCUGUCAAUCACCUCUGAAGCCCUGCCCCCAACAGCAUCUUUUGAUCUUCCUCUCCUUCUUGUGGGUUUGGUAGCUGCCUCCCGAUUGGUCUGAUUGGCUGUUACAGAACCAUGUGAUGACUCCAGUAGGUACCUGAUUGGUUGGCAGACUGUCCUCCUUGGCCUCUGAGGCUCCUCCCUCUCCUCUGCAUCACCCUUCGCGUCAUUGGUUUGUUCUUGCUGUUGGUCAGCAGCAGCUUGUGCGCAGCUCGAAGCCGGUCUGUGGACGGACAGAUGGAGAUCCAGAGACGGCUGGCUGGUGAAGUUCAGACCACACACCUGGAGACAGGUAAAGUUGAAGGUCAAAGGUCAGAGAAACGAAGGUGAUGUGAUGUUCAAGUGAAGGACUGACCUGGCAGAGCUUCCACCAUCUCUCUGCUCCUCCGUCUGCUGAGGACUCCAUUGUGCUGCUGUCAUCCAGCUCCUUCUGCUCCUUCUUCGGCCUCCCCGUCUUCCUCCUCCCCACGUCUCUGCUUGCUCUGCUGUGAUUGGCCUCUGUUGGCCCAUGUGACUGCUGCUCAGACUCCAGCAGGUAUCUGACUGUCGGACCGACCAUUCUCCUCCUCGGUCUCUGACACUCCGCCUCCUCAGUCUUCAUUAUGACAGAUUUGACUCUUCCCCCUUCUUUCAUGGUCUCCUCCCCUCCCCUCUCCUCCUCCUCCUGCCCCUCGUUCUUCUUCCUCUCUUGGAUCCAGGUUGUUUGUUUCUCUCCUCGCUUGCUGGUGUGGGACUCCUCAUCCUUCUCCAGAAGUUUCAUCUUUAGUCUCCUCCUCUUCCCGGGUGGUUUUCCUGCGAUGUGAUUGGUCGAUUUGUCAGCCAGUGAUGACUUUUGUCUUUCACCUCCAUCAGGCCACCUCCCCCCCUCCAUCUUCGUCUUUUCUUUAAAUGCCAUGCUCUCAGAGCAGAGUCGCUCC